CUGGUCAAUGUUUUCCUACUUUUGCUCUAAAUUGCUUUGGUAUAGUCAGUGUUGUUACUUUAUAAUCUUUGUUCUACCUCUUUGGCAAUAUAUCAAUAGUUUUUCUAUAAACUUUCCUCUGUAGAUACUUUAUUCUAAUAAAAUACAUGGUUCUGCUUUUCUUUACAUCAAAAAAAAAAAAAAAGAUUGGGGAUAGUAUUUGAACUAGCUUCUCUAACUACAAAGAUAAC
This 230-nucleotide long non-coding RNA is filed under the name Elaeis guineensis (African oil palm). RNAcentral's name for it is "long non-coding RNA (EGUI_LNC027434)". The record is from RNAcentral. Lineage: Eukaryota; Viridiplantae; Streptophyta; Magnoliopsida; Arecales; Arecaceae.